UAGGUGGCAAGCGUUGUCCGGAUUUACUGGGCGUAAAGAGCGCGCAGGCGGUCGUUCAAGUCGCGUGUGAAAGCCCCCGGCUCAACUGGGGAGGGUCACGCGAUACUGAUCGACUCGAAGGCAGGAGAGGGUAGUGGAAUUCCCGGUGUAGUGGUGAAAUGCGUAGAUAUCGGGAGGAACACCAGUGGCGAAGGCGACUACCUGGCCUGUUCUUGACGCUGAGGCGCGAAAGCUAGGGGAGCAAACGGG
RNAcentral lists this ribosomal RNA (249 nucleotides) under uncultured bacterium. RNAcentral's name for it is "partial 16S ribosomal RNA". It matches the Rfam family "Bacterial small subunit ribosomal RNA", at positions 528 to 776 of the family's 1533-position model. The record is from RNAcentral.